AAUAGUGAUAUUAAGCAAACCCAAAAAGACAGUCUCAGUUCGGAUUGAAGGCUGAAAUUCGCCUUCAUGAAGCCGGAAUUGCUAGUAAUGGCAGGUCAGCAUACUGCCGUGAAUACGUUCCCGGGCCUUGUACACACCGCCCGUCACACCAUGAGAGUUGGGGAUACCCGAAGCCUGUGAGCUAACAGUAAUGAAGCAGCAGUCGAAGGUAGAAUCAAUGAUUGGGGUGAAGUCGUAACAAGGUACC
This 247-nucleotide ribosomal RNA is filed under the name uncultured bacterium. RNAcentral describes it as "partial 16S ribosomal RNA". It matches the Rfam family "Bacterial small subunit ribosomal RNA", at positions 1253 to 1500 of the family's 1533-position model. The record is from RNAcentral.